This is an RNA transcript of Homarus americanus (American lobster), 1414 nucleotides long. It is a transcript of the gene named short coiled-coil protein homolog, with no coding region annotated. The record is from RefSeq and is a predicted model, not a curated record. NCBI's taxonomy places the organism in Eukaryota, Metazoa, Arthropoda, Malacostraca, Decapoda, Nephropidae. The transcript has 8 exons.
AUGCAAACUUUUAAUCACACAUAAUUUAAUUGAUGAAUAUACGUGAGUCACCAGUAACAUGUGGGUGGGGCUCCAUGUUCUCUGACGUCACCCUCAAGUGUCACACACAGGGCCGUCUGCUGAGGUCUUACUCCCUACUACAGAGUGUUUACGAGUGAACCAUGUCUAACUACCAGGACGACAACAGCAUACCUCUAGUGGAUGAUGACCCAUCAGUGGUUCUGGAUGAUGAUAGGACUGGAGCUUCUGAAAUAUCUGACUCUACUCGAGGCCAGAGUUUGGAGUCUAUUCCAUCAGCUUACACAAAUGGCUCCAACAGUCCUCUGCAUAAUAGUUUAGAGCCAGACAUGUCACCUGAUGAACAAGAGGAAAAGGCUCGCCUCAUUGCACAGGUGCUGGAGCUGCAAAACACACUAGAUGAUCUCUCUCAACGAGUGGAUAGUGUUAAAGAAGAAAAUCUUAAGCUGCGUUCAGAGAACCAGGUUCUUGGUCAGUAUAUUGAGAAUCUUAUGUCUGCUUCAUCAGUGUUUCAGUCUACAUCACCUAAAACUAAGAAAAAUAAACAGUGGCGCCAGUUUGAAGCUUGAGAUGUAUGAGAAGUUUUAACAGGGCCACGUAACCUUCUUACUGCUAAGGUCAAUGAUCUGAACGCUUGCUUUAGCUCCCAGCCAUGCUCGUUUGGCACUGCUGUUCAACUGUCAACCUACAACAAAAUGCCACUAUUGUACUCUUAUUGCUAUAAAUUUAGUGUGAAUAUUUAAAUUACAUGGUAGCUUUUAUUUUAUGCUAUAAUACAAUGUGUUGACUUUAAAUGUGUUUUUUGUAUUGGUCUGUACAGUAUGCAGAGUUCAUAUAUUUUGUUUGAUUUCAGGAAGAUGAGAGCAAAUUGAAAUUUGAAUCUCUAGCAUUAAAUCAUUGAGAAAAUUGUCUUACCCUUGCGACUGCUUUUAUUAGGGAAAGGUGUACACGCUGUGUCUCCUGUUGUCUCAGUAGGGUUGUCAAAAUCCUUCGUCCGUUGUGUACAGUAUUAUCUCGCACAAAAUACUUUUUGCAGCGAGUGUACUUGCAACAGAGCCCUUUAAUUGGAUAAUGGUUGUGAAGCAGCUUGUUUACAAUAGUUUCAAAGGUAGAGUCAAAACUGUCAUUUAGAACAUCCCAUUCCAUACCCAUCUAAGAUGCAACAUUCAGACUAAUAAAAUGUUAAUUUGUAUAGCUAAAGUGUCUUGUCUUAUUGUGAUGGAUAUUGAGUUUAUUAUUCUUCUCAAGGUAAAUGAAAAGUAGUUGUGUUUACCGGUAAUCCUAUCAUAUUCUUAUUUGUAUUGUAUGUUCAGUAGUGCUGUAUUACUAUAUUUUCCCACUCAAACCUGUAAAGGUGGCUUAAGCCUCCAAAAUGUUAAAUAUAAAAGUAAUAUAA